UACGUAGGCAGCAAGCGUUGUUCGGAAUUACUGGGCGUAAAGAGUGUGUAGGCGGUGCCGUAAGUUUGGCGUGAAAUCUCCCGGCUUAACUGGGAGGGUGCGCCGAAGACUGCGGUGCUUGAGGGUUGGAGAGGAAAGUGGAAUUUCUGGUGUAGCGGUGAAAUGCGUAGAUAUCAGGAGGAACACCGGUGGUGUAGACGGCUUUCUGGACCGUAACUGACGCUGAGUGAGCGAAAGCCAGGGGAGCAAACGGG
Molecule: ribosomal RNA, 254 nt
Filed under: uncultured bacterium
Lineage: Bacteria
Description: partial 16S ribosomal RNA
Rfam family: Bacterial small subunit ribosomal RNA
Source: RNAcentral